AAAAAUAGUGGAACAAAGUUCAAAUACAUCCAUGAAAAGCAUCACAAGCAAAGAAACGAAAAAUACUGAAGAUGUUCUUGAUUCACAACCACUACCUUCAGCACAUAUCCUCACCAAUGAAGAAUUGGAACAAACUGAAGCCCUUCUCUAUCACCUAAAGAAAAAAGAAAACAACAAAAUAUGACAGACAGCAGGCCCCAUUUAAGAUAAUUAUUA
This 216-nucleotide long non-coding RNA is filed under the name Capsicum annuum. RNAcentral's name for it is "long non-coding RNA (CANN_LNC018720)". The record is from RNAcentral. Lineage: Eukaryota; Viridiplantae; Streptophyta; Magnoliopsida; Solanales; Solanaceae.